RNAcentral lists this ribosomal RNA (253 nucleotides) under uncultured bacterium. RNAcentral's name for it is "partial 16S ribosomal RNA". It matches the Rfam family "Bacterial small subunit ribosomal RNA", at positions 524 to 776 of the family's 1533-position model. The record is from RNAcentral.
GACGUAGGAGGCGAGCGUUAUCCGGAUUCACUGGGCGUAAAGCGCAUGUAGGCGGAUGUCUAAGUCGUGUGUUAAAGCCCCUGGCUCAACUGGGGGAGGUCAUGCGAGACUGGAUGACUUGAGGGCAACAGAGGCACGUGGAACUCCCGGUGUAGCGGUGGAAUGCGUAGAGAUCGAGAAGAACACCCGUGGCGAAGGCGGCGUGCUGGGUUGCAACUGACGCUGAGAUGCGAAAGUGUGGGGAGCAAACGGG